GUUUAUGAGCUUAUGGAAGCUGUUGUUGAGCAACCACAACCUUGUGCACCUGCUGACCAAUUUUCUCCAGAGUUCUGCUCAUUUAUAUCUUCAUGUGUGCAGAAGGACCCAAAAGCUAGACAGUCAGCACAUGAACUUAUGACACAUGCAUUCAUGAACAUGUAUGACGACCUGCAUGUGGAUCUCUCAUCUUACUUCAAAAAUGCAGGCUCUCCACUU
Molecule: unclassified non-coding RNA, 219 nt
Filed under: Hevea brasiliensis (rubber tree)
Lineage: Eukaryota; Viridiplantae; Streptophyta; Magnoliopsida; Malpighiales; Euphorbiaceae
Source: RNAcentral